AGAGUUUGAUCAUGGCUCAGGAUGAACGCUAGCGGCAGGCCUAAUACAUGCAAGUCGAACGCUCAGUAGCAAUACUGGGAGUGGCGCACGGGUGCGUAACGCGUACACAAUCUACCUCUAAGCGGGGGACACCUCCUGGAAACGGGGAUUAAUACCGCAUAAUAUGCCGAAGUCGCAUGACUUUGGUAUUAAAGCAGCAAUGCACUUAGAGAUGAGUGUGCGUCCCAUUAGGUAGUUGGUGAGGUAACGGCUCACCAAGCCUAUGAUGGGUAGCCGGUCUGAGAGGAUGGUCGGCCACACGGGCACUGAGACACGGGCCCGACUCCUACGGGAGGCAGCAGUAAGGAAUAUUGGUCAAUGGUGGAAACACUGAACCAGCCAUGCCGCGUGGAGGAAUAAGGUCCUACGGAUUGUAAACUCCUUUUGACGAGGAAGAAAUGUUAGAUUUAUCUAAUUUUGACGGUACUCGUAGAAUAAGCACCGGCUAACUCCGUG
This 495-nucleotide ribosomal RNA is filed under the name uncultured bacterium. RNAcentral's name for it is "bacterial SSU rRNA". It matches the Rfam family "Bacterial small subunit ribosomal RNA", at positions 8 to 507 of the family's 1533-position model. The record is from RNAcentral.